GAUGAAUGCUGGCGGCGUGCUUAACACAUGCAAGUCGAACGAUGAAGCCCAGCUUGCUGGGUGGAUUAGUGGCGAACGGGUGAGUAACACGUGAGUAACCUGCCCUUAACUCUGGGAUAAGCCUGGGAAACUGGGUCUAAUACCGGAUAGGAGCGCCUACCGCAUGGUGGGUGUUGGAAAGAUUUAUCGGUUUUGGAUGGACUCGCGGCCUAUCAGCUUGUUGGUGAGGUAAUGGCUCACCAAGGCGACGACGGGUAGCCGGCCUGAGAGGGUGACCGGCCACACUGGGACUGAGACACGGCCCAGACUCCUACGGGAGGCAGCAGUGGGGAAUAUUGCACAAUGGGCGAAAGCCUGAUGCAGCGACGCCGCGUGAGGGAUGACGGCCUUCGGGUUGUAAACCUCUUUCAGUAGGGAAGAAGCGAAAGUGACGGUACCUGCAGAAGAAGCACCGGCUAACUACGUG
This 466-nucleotide ribosomal RNA is filed under the name uncultured bacterium. Its description in RNAcentral is "partial 16S ribosomal RNA". It matches the Rfam family "Bacterial small subunit ribosomal RNA", at positions 28 to 507 of the family's 1533-position model. The record is from RNAcentral.